UACGGAGGGUGCAAGCGUUGUUCGGAAUUACUGGGCGUAAAGGGCGCGUAGGCGGGUAUGUAAGUCGAUUGUGAAAUCCCCGGGCUUAACCCGGGAACUGCAGUCGAAACUGCGUAUCUUGAGUGCUUGAGAGGGUGAUGGAAUUCCUGGUGUAGAGGUGAAAUUCGUAGAUAUCAGGAGGAACACCGGAGGCGAAGGCGGUCACCUGGUGAGACACUGACGCUGAAGCGCGAAAGUGCGGGGAUCAAACAGG
RNAcentral lists this ribosomal RNA (253 nucleotides) under uncultured bacterium. RNAcentral's name for it is "partial 16S ribosomal RNA". It matches the Rfam family "Bacterial small subunit ribosomal RNA", at positions 524 to 776 of the family's 1533-position model. The record is from RNAcentral.